RNAcentral lists this ribosomal RNA (909 nucleotides) under uncultured bacterium. RNAcentral's name for it is "bacterial SSU rRNA". It matches the Rfam family "Bacterial small subunit ribosomal RNA", at positions 60 to 963 of the family's 1533-position model. The record is from RNAcentral.
AGUCGAGCGGAGAUGAGGUGCUUGCACCUUAUCUUAGCGGCGGACGGGUGAGUAAUGCUUAGGAAUCUGCCUAUUAGUGGGGGACAACAUUCCGAAAGGAAUGCUAAUACCGCAUACGUCCUACGGGAGAAAGCAGGGGAUCUUCGGACCUUGCGCUAAUAGAUGAGCCUAAGUCGGAUUAGCUAGUUGGUGGGGUAAAGGCCUACCAAGGCGACGAUCUGUAGCGGGUCUGAGAGGAUGAUCCGCCACACUGGGACUGAGACACGGCCCAGACUCCUACGGGAGGCAGCAGUGGGGAAUAUUGGACAAUGGGGGGAACCCUGAUCCAGCCAUGCCGCGUGUGUGAAGAAGGCCUUAUGGUUGUAAAGCACUUUAAGCGAGGAGGAGGCUACUGAGACUAACACUCUUGGAUAGUGGACGUUACUCGCAGAAUAAGCACCGGCUAACUCUGUGCCAGCAGCCGCGGUAAUACAGAGGGUGCGAGCGUUAAUCGGAUUUACUGGGCGUAAAGCGUGCGUAGGCGGCUUUUUAAGUCGGAUGUGAAAUCCCCGAGCUUAACUUGGGAAUUGCAUUCGAUACUGGGAAGCUAGAGUAUGGGAGAGGAUGGUAGAAUCCCAGGUGUAGCGGUGAAAUGCGUAGAGAUCUGGAGGAAUACCGAUGGCGAAGGCAGCCAUCUGGCCUAAUACUGACGCUGAGGUACGAAAGCAUGGGGAGCAAACAGGAUUAGAUACCCUGGUAGUCCAUGCCGUAAACGAUGUCUACUAGCCGUUGGGGCCUUUGAGGCUUUAGUGGCGCAGCUAACGCGAUAAGUAGACCGCCUGGGGAGUACGGUCGCAAGACUAAAACUCGAAUGAAUUGACGGGGGCCCGCACAAGCGGUGGAGCAUGUGGUUUAAUUCGAUGCAACGCG